UGGGGAAUUUUCCGCAAUGGGCGCAAGCCUGAUCCAGCAAUGCCGCGUGAGUGAUGAAGGCCCUAGGGUUGUAAAGCUCUUUUACCCGCGAUGAUAAUGACAGUAGCGGGAGAAUAAGCUCCGGCUAACUCCGUGCCAGCAGCCGCGGUAAUACGGAGGGAGCUAGCGUUGUUCGGAAUUACUGGGCGUAAAGCGCGCGUAGGCGGCUUUUCAAGUCAGGGGUGAAAUCCCGGGGCUCAACCCCGGAACUGCCUUUGAAACUGAAUUGCUAGAAUCUUGGAGAGGCGAGUGGAAUUCCGAGUGUAGAGGUGAAAUUCGUAGAUAUUCGGAAGAACACCAGUGGCGAAGGCGACUCGCUGGACAAGUAUUGACGCUGAGGUGCGAAAGCGUGGGGAGCAAACAGGAUUAGAUACCCCCGUAGUCC
RNAcentral lists this ribosomal RNA (424 nucleotides) under uncultured prokaryote. RNAcentral's name for it is "bacterial SSU rRNA". It matches the Rfam family "Bacterial small subunit ribosomal RNA", at positions 355 to 796 of the family's 1533-position model. The record is from RNAcentral.